Molecule: unclassified non-coding RNA, 304 nt
Filed under: Hevea brasiliensis (rubber tree)
Lineage: Eukaryota; Viridiplantae; Streptophyta; Magnoliopsida; Malpighiales; Euphorbiaceae
Source: RNAcentral
UCAAAGAAUACAAGAUGAAAUUGGUGAUCAUUAUGAACAACAUGAUGAAUAGUGUUGUUUGAUUGAUUUGUAUGGAGGUGCUUGAGGUCAAGCACUUAAAGAAUGUAAUAAUUAGGAUCAUGAUUAACACAUCUAUUUCAAUUGAGAGUAUAGUUGGAUACAGUAAAAAGUACUAAAAAUAUAAAGGCAAAUAGUCUUGAAAAAUCAAGCCAACAACAAGAGAAACGUGAAUUUGAAAAGCAAUUUGAGUUUGAAGAUCAAAUAGAAAAGGAGUAACCUAAAGAACCUAAGAUCGAAGAAUCUG